Long non-coding RNA from Physeter macrocephalus (sperm whale), 188 nucleotides. RefSeq lists it as uncharacterized. Lineage: Eukaryota; Metazoa; Chordata; Mammalia; Artiodactyla; Physeteridae. The record is from RefSeq and is a predicted model, not a curated record. The transcript has 2 exons.
AAGUCAUACUCUCUAAAGGGAACAAGUAAGUGUCUAAGACUAUAAUUCAUCUGGAUCAGAAAUCCUAAACUCAUGUGGGACAGCUCUUCAGAUACUCAUUCAGCAAAUAAUUAUUAAACACGUGUACGGCAGGCAGGACAAGAAGUUCCUUCAUGCUGUCUGGUGGCUGUCUAGUGGAAGAAGCAAGG